AUUGAACGCUGGCGGCAUGCUUUACACAUGCAAGUCGAACGGCAGCGCGGGCUUCGGCCUGGCGGCGAGUGGCGAACGGGUGAGUAAUACAUCGGAACGUGCCCAGUAGUGGGGGAUAGCUCGGCGAAAGCCGGAUUAAUACCGCAUACGACCUGAGGGUGAAAGCGGGGGAUCUUCGGACCUCGCGCUAUUGGAGCGGCCGAUGGCAGAUUAGCUAGUUGGUGGGGUAAAGGCCUACCAAGGCGACGAUCUGUAGCUGGUCUGAGAGGACGACCAGCCACACUGGGACUGAGACACGGCCCAGACUCCUACGGGAGGCAGCAGUGGGGAAUUUUGGACAAUGGGCGAAAGCCUGAUCCAGCAAUGCCGCGUGUGUGAUGAAGGCCUUCGGGUUGUAAAGCACUUUUGGCGGGAACGAAAAGGACUGUGCCAAUACCACGGUUCGAUGACGGUACCCGCAGAAUAAGCACCGGCUAACUACGUGCCAGCAGCCGCGGUAAUACGUAGGGUGCAAGCGUUAAUCGGAAUUACUGGGCGUAAAGAGUGCGCAGGCGGUUUUGCAAGACCGAUGUGAAAUCCCCGGGCUUAACCUGGGAACUGCAUUGGUGACUGCAAGGCUAGAGUGUGUCAGAGGGAGGUGGAAUUCCGCAUGUAGCAGUGAAAUGCGUAGAUAUGCGGAGGAACACCGAUGGCGAAGGCAGCCUCCUGGGAUAACACUGACGCUCAUGCACGAAAGCGUGGGGAGCAAACAGG
Molecule: ribosomal RNA, 753 nt
Filed under: uncultured Lautropia sp.
Lineage: Bacteria; Pseudomonadati; Pseudomonadota; Betaproteobacteria; Burkholderiales; Burkholderiaceae
Description: bacterial SSU rRNA
Rfam family: Bacterial small subunit ribosomal RNA
Source: RNAcentral